CGGAGAUUCGAGAGAGUGUAGGGUGGCAGAGGAAAACUCGGGCGGCCGCGGCAACGUGAGAAACAUGCGGUUCGACGAUUCAGUCGUUUUUGUGUAACUCGGCGCUCGAGAACUGGUAAACAGUAAGUAAACUGCGUUCGAAAA
Molecule: non-coding RNA, 144 nt
Organism: Caenorhabditis elegans
Lineage: Eukaryota; Metazoa; Nematoda; Chromadorea; Rhabditida; Rhabditidae
Source: Ensembl